UGAGGAAUAUUGGUCAAUGGGCGAGAGCCUGAACCAGCCAAGUCGCGUGAAGGACGACGGUUCUAUGGAUUGUAAACUUCUUUUGUAGAGGAAUAACGGCAGCUACGUGUAGCUGAGAUGCAUGUACUCUACGAAUAAGUAUCGGCUAACUCCGUGCCAGCAGCCGCGGUAAUACGGAGGAUACGAGCGUUAUCCGGAAUUAUUGGGUUUAAAGGGUGCGUAGGUGGCGUAUUAAGUCAGUGGUGAAAAGCUGCAGCUCAACUGUAGUCUUGCCGUUGAAACUGAUAUGCUAGAGAGGAGACGAGGUAUGCGGAAUGUGUGGUGUAGCGGUGAAAUGCAUAGAUAUCACACAGAACGCCGAUUGCGAAGGCAGCGUACCAGGCUCCGUCUGACACUGAAGCACGAAAGCGUGGGGAUCAAACAGGAUUAGAUACCCUGGUAGUCCACGCAGUAAACGAUGAAUACUAGAUUUUUGCGAUAUACUGUAAGAGUCUAAGCGAAAGCGAUAAGUAUUCCACCUGGGGAGUACGCCGGCAGACGGUG
RNAcentral lists this ribosomal RNA (543 nucleotides) under uncultured bacterium. RNAcentral's name for it is "bacterial SSU rRNA". It matches the Rfam family "Bacterial small subunit ribosomal RNA", at positions 355 to 896 of the family's 1533-position model. The record is from RNAcentral.